Molecule: long non-coding RNA, 199 nt
Filed under: Nicotiana benthamiana
Lineage: Eukaryota; Viridiplantae; Streptophyta; Magnoliopsida; Solanales; Solanaceae
Description: long non-coding RNA (NBEN_LNC000608)
Source: RNAcentral
UUUUAAUUCCUUCCAAUAUUCUUCUGGUAAUACUUCUCUUCUACAUCUAUUAGUUCCAGCUCUCGUAUCUAUAUAUGUUGUAUAAUAUCUACUAUUAUAUCCAUCACAUUUUACUUUAAUUAAGAUAUUUAUUUCUUCAUGACUCAUAUACUUUCUAUUAUUAUAUUUAUAGUAUUAAUUGUUUCUCUUUUUAUCUUAA